This 874-nucleotide long non-coding RNA is filed under the name Setaria viridis. Its description in RNAcentral is "long non-coding RNA (SVIR_LNC008343)". The record is from RNAcentral. Lineage: Eukaryota; Viridiplantae; Streptophyta; Magnoliopsida; Poales; Poaceae.
GAAGGGCGACAUCCCCACCUACGUCUGCGGCGUCAAUGCCGACCAGUACAACCCCGACGAGCCCAUCAUCAGCAACGCCUCCUGCACCACCAACUGUCUCGCGCCCUUCGUCAAGGUCCUCGACCAGAAGUUCGGUGCGUGCUCCAUUAUAUAUGCUCUCUUCUGCAAUAUUGUAAUGAGUCCAUGUCCCGAUCAGGCUUGGCAUGACGAUGCUUACUAAGACCUAGCAAUUAAUAUGAUGCAUCGCAUCGCAGGCAUCAUCAAGGGCACCAUGACCACCACCCACUCCUACACCGGUGACCAGAGGCUGCUGGACGCCAGCCACCGCGACCUGCGCCGCGCCCGCGCCGCCGCGCUCAACAUCGUGCCCACCUCCACCGGCGCCGCCAAGGCCGUGGCGCUGGUGCUCCCCAACCUCAAGGGCAAGCUCAACGGGAUCGCGCUCCGGGUGCCCACCCCGAACGUCUCCGUCGUCGACCUCGUCGUGCAGGUCUCCAAGAAGACCCUCGCCGAGGAGGUGAACCAGGCGUUCCGCGACAGCGCCGCCAACGAGCUCGCCGGCAUCCUCGAGGUCUGCGACGCCCCGCUCGUGUCCGUCGACUUCAGGUGCUCCGACGUGUCCUCCACCGUCGACGCCUCGCUCACCAUGGUCAUGGGCGACGACAUGGUCAAGGUCAUCGCGUGGUACGACAACGAGUGGGGCUACUCGCAGAGGGUCGUCGACCUAGCUGACAUUGUCGCCAACAAUUGGAAGUGAAGCCUCGCAUUGUAAUAACCCAUCCUCGGCUUCAAAAUUUUCCCCAGGGUCUUCCCUGAUGAUAAUUUGUAAUGAGAAAUCGAGGACCCAAACUCCCAACAAUUCCUUUUAUUUUCU